This 371-nucleotide ribosomal RNA is filed under the name uncultured organism. RNAcentral describes it as "bacterial SSU rRNA". It matches the Rfam family "Bacterial small subunit ribosomal RNA", at positions 527 to 896 of the family's 1533-position model. The record is from RNAcentral.
CGGGGGUGCGAGCGUUGUCCGGAAUCACUGGGCGUAAAGGGCGCGUAGGUGGUUUGAUAAGGGUGUGGUGAAAGUCCGGGGCUCAACCCCGGAUCUGCCGUGCCGACUGUCAAACUCGAGGGCUGUAGAGGCAGACGGAAUUCCGGGUGUAGCGGUGGAAUGCGUAGAGAUCCGGAGGAAGACCGGUGGCGAAGGCGGUCUGCUGGGCAGUUUCUGACACUGAUGCGCGACAGCGUGGGGAGCAAACAGGAUUAGAUACCCUGGUAGUCCACGCCGUAAACGAUGGGUACUAGGUGCCUGGGGGAGCGACCCUCUGGGUGCCGGCGCUAACGCAGGAAGUACCCCGCCUGGGGAGUACGACCGCAAGGUUG